RNAcentral lists this long non-coding RNA (1407 nucleotides) under Elaeis guineensis (African oil palm). RNAcentral's name for it is "long non-coding RNA (EGUI_LNC007969)". Lineage: Eukaryota; Viridiplantae; Streptophyta; Magnoliopsida; Arecales; Arecaceae. The record is from RNAcentral.
CAUUUGAGUGCAUAGAUCUCAAGAUACUCAAUUCUUUGUCAUUCAUCUACCUGCAUAGCUAUUAAAGCACUCAAUCUAUUAGCAUUCAUCCAUUGGCAUAGAUCUCAAAGCACUUUGUCCAUGUGACUCUUUUCCUUCCCCUACAUUUCUUACCAAAAUAAGAGCCUUUUACUAAAUUAGUGAGAAAGUAGUAUGGACAUCUUAUAAAAGUUAUCAUAUGACCCGCAUAUGAUAAUAUUUGGAAUGGAGAGAGAUGACUGGACUAUGUUCGAAGUUUUGGUGGACACUUUUUAAACUUUUGGUGUUUAAUUGUAAAUAUCCCUAUUAUGGAGGGAAUCAACCAUCUGACCUUGGCCUCCCUUGCCUCGAGUAGAGGCCGAGCACUCAUCUCUGAUCCAUCACUAACAACUCAUAUAGAAGCUACAUCAGUACUAAACAACCUCCUCAGAUAUUGAAAAUGAAAGAUCGGAUGAUCAGAUUGUCUUGCCAAGAUGAUUCCCCAACAUCGAUUGCAUUUCGAUCCUAAGCUCGGAUGCACACCAACCCUAGGGUCAGACUCAUACUAACAAUACAAGAUGAAUUUUGAAUCAUCUGGCUGUUAAGAAGAGAAGAUUAACCCAACAAAAUCUCUCAGAAUCUUAGAUGAUUCCCUACAAUCUCAAGCAUAUGAGCUAAAAUCAUAUAUCUAGCACCCAUAAAUAAUACUUGUAACUAAUAACCACGACCCCUAGAUUAGUGGCACAGAUUCUCUGCUUCCAUUACUGAAUUUGGAGGUAAAGAAUAUUUACCUCUAUAUACAAGGCAGUAAAGGAGACCCUCAGGGUAAGUUCUCUAAGAAAACAAGAGCACUCUCUUUCUCUAAUUCUCUUUAUUCCACUAUUCUCAAGCUUUGGUUGAUUUAAGCAUAGGAGGGUCUCCCUGUCGGAGAAUCUCUGAUGAGUAUAGAUUUCUUUUAUGAUUUUUCAAGAAGAGCUAGCCCUCAAAAUGCCAUUAAACUCUAAAUCAAUAAGAGACCGAUCCUAUCCAUAAUAGCUAGGACAUCUGCAGCAACAGAUUGACAUUAGAGAAAGGACCUUACCUUUUCUUAGAAAAAAAGAGGAAAAUAGCGAGAAUGAGGGUGUAGAAUAAUUCCAUCAGUUGUCUCAAAAAAGUCAAUGGGAUGUACGUUCUAUAGAAGUAGUAGUAGCAGGACCCGCACAACCUACUAUGAUGAUAGAUCUAUAAUAGUUUGAUGCCUUGGUCCAAUAAGUCUAAAUAUUGACCACUACUAUACAACAGCUCCAAAAGCUAUCGGGAGGCAAUGAUCGUAGGAGCCUGUCCAUUAGGUGGCUCCAUCUUAGCAUAGCAGCUAAUUUUGCCCCAAAAGCCUGAAAUCGGCCCCCCCAGCAUUUCCACCAUUCUGCUCCC